UGGGUGGUAAAUUCCAUCUAAGGCUAAAUAUAGGCGAGAGACCGAUAGCGAACAAGUACCGUGAGGGAAAGAUGAAAAGAACUUUGAAAAGAGAGUUAAACAGUACGUGAAAUUGUUGAUAGGGAAACGAUUGAAGUCAGUCAUGCCGGUGAAAAAUCAGCUCACAGGCUACUGUGGGUGCACUUUUUCGCAAGGCAGGUUAACAUCGGUUUUUGUUGCGUUAUAAUGAUUGUAGGAAGGUGGCUUCUUCGGGAGUGUUAUAGCCUACUUUAGAUGACGCGACGAGGACUGAGGAUUGCAGCGAAUGCCUUUGGCUACGGAACUCUUCUCUGUCGAUCUUCAAUUGAUCGUCAGCUUGCUGACGAGCGGUUGAUAGGUUUACAAUAGGAAGGAAUCCGAUAAACUCGCUAAGGAUGUUGACGUAAUGGCUUUAAACGACCCGUCUUGAAACACGGACCAAGGAGUCUAACAUACGUGCGAGUGUUUGGGUGACAAACCCAUUCGCGUAAUGAAAGUGAACGUAGGUGGGAGCCUUUUGGUGCACCAUCAACC
This 552-nucleotide ribosomal RNA is filed under the name uncultured Glomeromycotina. Its description in RNAcentral is "eukaryotic LSU rRNA". It matches the Rfam family "Eukaryotic large subunit ribosomal RNA", at positions 293 to 766 of the family's 3401-position model. Lineage: Eukaryota; Fungi; Glomeromycota. The record is from RNAcentral.